This is a non-coding RNA of Mus musculus (house mouse), 94 nucleotides long. The record is from Rfam. NCBI's taxonomy places the organism in Eukaryota, Metazoa, Chordata, Mammalia, Rodentia, Muridae.
GGGUCUAUGAUGAUUCCCAGUCAAACAUUCCUUGGAAAAGCUGAACAAAAUGAGUGAAAACUCUCUACCGCCACAGUCAUCGGAACUGAGGUCC